GAUGAAGAACGCAGUGAAAUGCGAUAAGUAAUGUGAAUUGCAGAAUUCAGUGAAUCAUCGAAUCUUUGAACGCACAUUGCGCCCCUUGGUAUUCCGAGGGGCAUGCCUGUUCGAGCGUCAUUAUAACCCCUCAAGCUCAGCUUGGUGUUGGGGCCUGCUGCACUGGCAGCCCUUAAAAUCAGUGGCGGCGCCAUCUGGCUCUAAGCGUAGUAAUUCUUCUCGCUAUGGAGUCCUGGUGGAUGCUUGCCAUCAACCCCCAAUUUUUCUAUGGUUGACCUCGGAUCAGGUAGGGAUACCCGCUGAACUUAAGCAUAUCAUAAGCGGAGGA
RNAcentral lists this unclassified non-coding RNA (328 nucleotides) under soil metagenome. RNAcentral's name for it is "partial contains 5.8S ribosomal RNA, internal transcribed spacer 2, and large subunit ribosomal RNA". The stretch from base 1 to 120 matches the Rfam family "5.8S ribosomal RNA", at positions 35 to 154 of the family's 154-position model. The record is from RNAcentral.